ACGAGACACGUGAAACCUUGUGGGAAGCAGGGAGGACCACCUCCCAAGGCUAAAUACUACCUGAUGACCGAUAGUGAAGCAGUACCGUGAGGGAAAGGUGAAAAGAACCCCGGGAGGGGAGUGAAAUAGAACCUGAAACCGUGUGCCUACAACCGCUCAGAGCCCCUUAUGAGGGUGAUGAGGUGCUUUUUGUAGAACGAGCCAACGAGUUACGGUAUGUAGCAAGGUUAAGUACUUAAGGUACGGAGCCGAAGGGAAACCGAGUCUGAAUAGGGCGACUAGUUGCAUGCCGUAGACCCGAAACCGGGUGACCUAUCCAUGGCCAGGUUGAAGCGAGGGUAAAACCUCGUGGAGGACCGAACCACGUUGCUGUUGAAAAAGCAUGGGAUGAGCUGUGGAUAGCGGAGAAAUUCCAAUCGAACCCGGAGAUAGCUGGUUCUCUCCGAAAUAGCUUUAGGGCUAGCGUCGAGUAUGAGUAGUGGAGGUAGAGCACUGAAUGGGCUAGGGGGCAUAGCGCUUACCGAACCUUAUCAAACUCCGAAUGCCACAUACUUUGAGCUCGGCAGUCAGACUACGAAUGAUAAGAUCCGUGGUCAAAAGGGAAACAGCCCAGAUCGUCAGCUAAGGUCCCAAAGUGUAAGUUAAGUGGGAAAGGAUGUGAGAUUUCUAAGACAACUAGGAUGUUGGCUUAGAAGCAGCCAUUCAUUAAAAGAGUGCGUAAUAGCUCACUAGUCGAGAGAUCUUGCGCCGAAAAUGUAACGGGGCUAAACUUACCACCGAAGCUACGGGCUUGAACUUAGUUCAAGCGGUAGGAGAGCGUCGUAACCGGGCUGAAGUCGUACCGUAAGGAGCGGUGGACUGGUUACGAGUGAGAAUGUUGGCAUCAGUAGCGAGAUGUGGGUGAGAAUCCCACAGGCCGAAAACCUAAGGUUUCCUCAGGAAGGUUCGUCCGCUGAGGGUUAGUCGGGACCUAAGCCGAGGCCGAAAGGCGUAGGUGAUGGACAACUGG
RNAcentral lists this ribosomal RNA (1009 nucleotides) under Clostridium perfringens. Its description in RNAcentral is "partial 23S ribosomal RNA". It matches the Rfam family "Bacterial large subunit ribosomal RNA", at positions 417 to 1429 of the family's 2925-position model. The record is from RNAcentral. Lineage: Bacteria; Bacillati; Bacillota; Clostridia; Eubacteriales; Clostridiaceae.